Galeopterus variegatus (Sunda flying lemur) is the source of this 380-nucleotide long non-coding RNA. RefSeq lists it as uncharacterized. NCBI's taxonomy places the organism in Eukaryota, Metazoa, Chordata, Mammalia, Dermoptera, Cynocephalidae. The transcript is spliced from 3 exons. The record is from RefSeq and is a predicted model, not a curated record.
UUCUUUCAGAACAAGAUGCAGGCCUUGAUGCCCUUUCCUCUAUCAUAAGUCGCCAAAAACAAAUGGGGCAGGAAAUUGGGAAUGAAUUGGAUGAACAAAAUGAGAUAAUUGAUGACCUUGCCAACCUGGUGGAGAACACAGAUGAAAAACUUCGCACUGAAACCAGGCGGGUGAACCUGGUGGAUAGAAAGUCAACCUCUUGUGGGAUGAUAAUGGUGAUUUUAUUGCUGCUUGUGGCUAUUGUGGUUGUUGCAGUCUGGCCAACCAACUGAUGGCAAUAAAGAGACCACCAGCCGUGACACCUGCCAGUGACAGAUAAAAGCCCAGCACCCUUUUGGUAUAUAAAACCCACUCUCAAUAAAUCCUGCCAAAGCUCUGAA